RNAcentral lists this ribosomal RNA (492 nucleotides) under uncultured bacterium. RNAcentral describes it as "partial 16S ribosomal RNA". It matches the Rfam family "Bacterial small subunit ribosomal RNA", at positions 29 to 507 of the family's 1533-position model. The record is from RNAcentral.
AGUGAACGCUGGCGGUAGGCCUAACACAUGCAAGUCGAACGGCAGCACAGUAAGAGCUUGCUCUUACGGGUGGCGAGUGGCGGACGGGUGAGGAAUACAUCGGAAUCUACUUUUUCGUGGGGGAUAACGUAGGGAAACUUACGCUAAUACCGCAUACGACCUACGGGUGAAAGCAGGGGAUCUUCUGACCUUGCGCGAUUGAAUGAGCCGAUGUCGGAUUAGCUAGUUGGCGGGGUAAAGGCCCACCAAGGCGACGAUCCGUAGCUGGUCUGAGAGGAUGAUCAGCCACACUGGAACUGAGACACGGUCCAGACUCCUACGGGAGGCAGCAGUGGGGAAUAUUGGACAAAGGGCGCAAGCCUGAUCCAGCCAUACCGCGUGGGUGAAGAAGGCCUUCGGGUUGUAAAGCCCUUUUGUUGGGAAAGAAAAGCAGCAGGUUAAUACCCAGCUGUUCUGACGGUACCCAAAGAAUAAGCACCGGCUAACUUCGUG